CCUACGGGAGGCAGCAGUAGGGAAUAUUGCACAAUGGGCGAAAGCCUGAUGCAGCGACGCCGCGUGAGUGAUGAAGGCCUUCGGGUCGUAAAACUCUGUGAUAUGUGAAGAUAAUGACGGUAACAACAGAAGACGCC
This 137-nucleotide ribosomal RNA is filed under the name uncultured freshwater bacterium. Its description in RNAcentral is "partial 16S ribosomal RNA". It matches the Rfam family "Bacterial small subunit ribosomal RNA", at positions 338 to 492 of the family's 1533-position model. The record is from RNAcentral.